UGGGGAAUUUUGGACAAUGGGCGAAAGCCUGAUCCAGCAAUGCCGCGUGUGUGAAGAAGGCCUUCGGGUUGUAAAGCACUUUUGUCCGGAAAGAAAUCCUUGGCUCUAAUACAGUCGGGGGAUGACGGUACCGGAAGAAUAAGCACCGGCUAACUACGUGCCAGCAGCCGCGGUAAUACGUAGGGUGCAAGCGUUAAUCGGAAUUACUGGGCGUAAAGCGUGCGCAGGCGGUUUGCUAAGACCGAUGUGAAAUCCCCGGGCUCAACCUGGGAACUGCAUUGGUGACUGGCAGGCUAGAGUAUGGCAGAGGGGGGUAGAAUUCCACGUGUAGCAGUGAAAUGCGUAGAGAUGUGGAGGAAUACCGAUGGCGAAGGCAGCCCCCUGGGCCAAUACUGACGCUCAUGCACGAAAGCGUGGGGAGCAAACAGGAUUAGAUACCCUGGUAGUCCACGCCCUAAACGAUGUCAACUAGUUGUUGGGGACUUCAUUUUCCUUAGUAACGUAGCUAACGCGUGAAGUUGACCGCCUGGGGAGUACGGUCGCAAGAUUAAAACUCAAAUGAAUUGACGGGGUCAUAGCUGUUUCCU
This 587-nucleotide ribosomal RNA is filed under the name uncultured bacterium. RNAcentral's name for it is "partial 16S ribosomal RNA". It matches the Rfam family "Bacterial small subunit ribosomal RNA", at positions 355 to 1375 of the family's 1533-position model. The record is from RNAcentral.